Long non-coding RNA from Maylandia zebra (zebra mbuna), 904 nucleotides. RefSeq lists it as uncharacterized. The record is from RefSeq and is a predicted model, not a curated record. NCBI's taxonomy places the organism in Eukaryota, Metazoa, Chordata, Actinopteri, Cichliformes, Cichlidae.
AGCAGCAAGGAAGGUGAUAAGUAAAUAGCAUUAGCAGACAAUUGAAGUUCUUUUUAAGCAUACUUUAUUGCUAGCAUCUCCCUUUUACCAUAAAACAAUCAAUCAGGCAUGCAAAAAUCCCACUGGCUUUAUACAAGACUUUGCCCACACCUGACCUCGUUAGCCCCUACCAUUGAACAAAAUAGGUCAAACCAAAUAAUACAAUUCUAAACAAAGAACAGGAAUAAAGUCAUGCAUGAAACUGACAAACUCAUUUACUCAACUAAAUGGUUUGUAAAGUAAAACACUGCAUACAAUAUAACUCAAAAGGCUACUUUAAAGAAAACAAACAAUACUAUACAAAAUGAAAACCCUCCAUUUGGUUACACCCAGUGAUCCAAUCAUUGACCUCAUGACCCUAUAUAAACAGGAAGUAGUGGGCGGCCCUUCCCAUACACCCGUCUCACAUACAGGACCUGAAUGCACAACAUGGACACCAUGCUAUCAGGCAGACAUAUCACUGAAAUCUGGCUGCCGGAGCAGCCUUUGAAGCCUCCUGGCAGAGCUGCGCCAGGGAGCUCCGAGCUGGCUGCAUUGAAGUUAGCGUUAACACUCCACCUCCACGGCAGAUCAGAAGCUCCCUGUAGCGAGACACCUCACCUCAACGCCACAACUUCAGAGGCAGGCCCGCCUCUACGGGUGGAGAGGACGGCUUGCUUUGCUUCUCGCAUCAACACAUGUGUGCUGGCAGCAGGAAUCUACCCGACACAGAGCUGUGUAAGAGCACAUGUAGUGACACAACAACUUCAUUUUCCUUGAAGUUGAAUCUUUUUGGUCCUUCAAGCUUUGGCCGGUGAGCACUUUGAGUCCUUCAGUUUAUAAAAUGUGCUAAAUAAAGAUGGCCUGACUUAAUUAUGAUUAUAAA